This 762-nucleotide ribosomal RNA is filed under the name Nocardia farcinica. Its description in RNAcentral is "bacterial SSU rRNA". It matches the Rfam family "Bacterial small subunit ribosomal RNA", at positions 104 to 878 of the family's 1533-position model. Lineage: Bacteria; Bacillati; Actinomycetota; Actinomycetes; Mycobacteriales; Nocardiaceae. The record is from RNAcentral.
GGGUGAGUAACACGUGGGUGAUCUGCCCUGUACUUCGGGAUAAGCCUGGGAAACUGGGUCUAAUACCGGAUAUGACCUUACAUCGCAUGGUGUUUGGUGGAAAGAUUUAUCGGUACAGGAUGGGCCCGCGGCCUAUCAGCUUGUUGGUGGGGUAAUGGCCUACCAAGGCGACGACGGGUAGCCGGCCUGAGAGGGCGACCGGCCACACUGGGACUGARACACGGCCCAGACUCCUACGGGAGGCAGCAGUGGGGAAUAUUGCACAAUGGGCGAAAGCCUGAUGCAGCGACGCCGCGUGAGGGAUGACGGCCUUCGGGUUGUAAACCUCUUUCGACAGGGACGAAGCGCAAGUGACGGUACCUGUAGAAGAAGCACCGGCCAACUACGUGCCAGCAGCCGCGGUAAUACGUAGGGUGCGAGCGUUGUCCGGAAUUACUGGGCGUAAAGAGCUUGUAGGCGGUUUGUCGCGUCGUCCGUGAAAACUUGGGGCUCAACCCCAAGCUUGCGGGCGAUACGGGCAGACUUGAGUACUGCAGGGGAGACUGGAAUUCCUGGUGUAGCGGUGAAAUGCGCAGAUAUCAGGAGGAACACCGGUGGCGAAGGCGGGUCUCUGGGCAGUAACUGACGCUGAGAAGCGAAAGCGUGGGUAGCGAACAGGAUUAGAUACCCUGGUAGUCCACGCCGUAAACGGUGGGCGCUAGGUGUGGGUUUCCUUCCACGGGAUCCGUGCCGUAGCUAACGCAUUAAGCGCCCCGCCUGGGG